Molecule: ribosomal RNA, 735 nt
Filed under: Klebsiella sp.
Lineage: Bacteria; Pseudomonadati; Pseudomonadota; Gammaproteobacteria; Enterobacterales; Enterobacteriaceae
Description: bacterial SSU rRNA
Rfam family: Bacterial small subunit ribosomal RNA
Source: RNAcentral
UGGCUCAGAUUGAACGCUGGCGGCAGGCCUAACACAUGCAAGUCGAGCGGUAGCACAGAGAGCUUGCUCUCGGGUGACGAGCGGCGGACGGGUGAGUAAUGUCUGGGAAACUGCCUGAUGGAGGGGGAUAACUACUGGAAACGGUAGCUAAUACCGCAUAACGUCGCAAGACCAAAGUGGGGGACCUUCGGGCCUCAUGCCAUCAGAUGUGCCCAGAUGGGAUUAGCUAGUAGGUGGGGUAAUGGCUCACCUAGGCGACGAUCCCUAGCUGGUCUGAGAGGAUGACCAGCCACACUGGAACUGAGACACGGUCCAGACUCCUACGGGAGGCAGCAGUGGGGAAUAUUGCACAAUGGGCGCAAGCCUGAUGCAGCCAUGCCGCGUGUAUGAAGAAGGCCUUCGGGUUGUAAAGUACUUUCAGCGAGGAGGAAGGCAUUAAGGUUAAUAACCUUGGUGAUUGACGUUACUCGCAGAAGAAGCACCGGCUAACUCCGUGCCAGCAGCCGCGGUAAUACGGAGGGUGCAAGCGUUAAUCGGAAUUACUGGGCGUAAAGCGCACGCAGGCGGUCUGUCAAGUCGGAUGUGAAAUCCCCGGGCUCAACCUGGGAACUGCAUUCGAAACUGGCAGGCUAGAGUCUUGUAGAGGGGGGUAGAAUUCCAGGUGUAGCGGUGAAAUGCGUAGAGAUCUGGAGGAAUACCGGUGGCGAAGGCGGCCCCCUGGACAAAGACUGACGC